This 853-nucleotide ribosomal RNA is filed under the name uncultured Bacteroidales bacterium. Its description in RNAcentral is "bacterial SSU rRNA". It matches the Rfam family "Bacterial small subunit ribosomal RNA", at positions 28 to 877 of the family's 1533-position model. Lineage: Bacteria; Pseudomonadati; Bacteroidota; Bacteroidia; Bacteroidales. The record is from RNAcentral.
GAUGAACGCUAGCUACAGGCUUAACACAUGCAAGUCGAGGGGCAGCAUUGGAGUAGCAAUACUUCAGAUGGCGACCGGCGCACGGGUGAGUAACACGUAUCCAACCUGCCGCUUACUCGGGGAUAGCCUUUCGAAAGAAAGAUUAAUACCCGAUGGUAUAAAGAGUUCGCAUGUUCUCUUUAUUAAAGAAUUUCGGUAAGCGAUGGGGAUGCGUUCCAUUAGAUAGUUGGCGGGGUAACGGCCCACCAAGUCUACGAUGGAUAGGGGUUCUGAGAGGAAGGUCCCCCACAUUGGAACUGAGACACGGUCCAAACUCCUACGGGAGGCAGCAGUGAGGAAUAUUGGUCAAUGGACGAGAGUCUGAACCAGCCAAGUAGCGUGAAGGAUGACUGCCCUAUGGGUUGUAAACUUCUUUUAUAAGGGAAUAAAGUGAGGGACGUGUCCCUUUUUGUAUGUACCUUAUGAAUAAGGAUCGGCUAACUCCGUGCCAGCAGCCGCGGUAAUACGGAGGAUCCGAGCGUUAUCCGGAUUUAUUGGGUUUAAAGGGAGCGUANGUUGACGUAUAAGUCAGCUGUGAAAGUUUACGGCUCAACCGUGAAAUUGCAGUUGAUACUGUAUGUCUUGAGUGUACAAGAGGUGGGCGGAAUUCGUGGUGUAGCGGUGAAAUGCUUAGAUAUCACGAAGAACUCCAAUUGCGAAGGCAGCUCACUGGGGUACAACUGACACUGAGCUCGAAAGUGUGGGUAUCAAACAGGAUUAGAUACCCUGGUAGUCCACACAGUAAACGAUGAAUACUCGCUGUUUGCGAUAUACAGUAAGCGGCCAAGCGAAAGCAUUAAGUAUUCCACCUGGG